Molecule: unclassified non-coding RNA, 213 nt
Filed under: uncultured fungus
Lineage: Eukaryota; Fungi
Description: sequence contains ITS1, 5.8S rRNA gene
Source: RNAcentral
UUGAAGCUCGGAACGUCGUGUUCGGUUACUGAUGCUGCCCGGCAACGGGACGUGCUCGUAUCGGACGCGGUGUCCCUUCUCUAUCCACCCCACUGUGAACCAAGCGUGCGAGCCAGUAAAGAUGGGGGAGACCCCAUCCGAAAGCUUGCAUGCAAACCUAUAACAUACCCCAAAGAAGUAUCAGAAUGUAACUUGCGUUAACUCGCACAUAUA